RNAcentral lists this ribosomal RNA (497 nucleotides) under uncultured bacterium. RNAcentral's name for it is "partial 16S ribosomal RNA". It matches the Rfam family "Bacterial small subunit ribosomal RNA", at positions 28 to 507 of the family's 1533-position model. The record is from RNAcentral.
GACGAACGCUGGCGGCGUGCCUAAUACAUGCAAGUUGAGCGCUGAAGGUUGGUACUUGUACCAACUGGAUGAGCAGCGAACGGGUGAGUAACGCGUGGGGAAUCUGCCUUUGAGCGGGGGACAACAUUUGGAAACGAAUGCUAAUGCCGCAUAAAAACUUUAAACACAAGUUUUAAGUUUGAAAGAUGCAAUUGCAUCACUCAAAGAUGAUCCCGCGUUGUAUUAGCUAGUUGGUGAGGUAAAGGCUCACCAAGGCGAUGAUACAUAGCCGACCUGAGAGGGUGAUCGGCCACAUUGGGGCUGAGACACGGCCCAAACUCCUACGGGAGGCAGCAGUAGGGAAUCUUCGGCAAUGGACGAAAGUCUGACCGAGCAACGCCGCGUGAGUGAAGAAGGUUUUCGGAUCGUAAAACUCUGUUGGUAGAGAAGAACGUUGGUGAGAGUGGAAAGCUCGUCAAGUGACGGUAACUACCCAGAAAGGGACGGCUAACUACGUG